AACCCAUGGUGAGGGCACCUUUUCAAUAAAUCCAUGUACCUCUCUCAUGCAUCAUAUAAAGUAUUUAAAUCGAUUUACACAAAGGAGGAGAUAUCAUUCCUCAACUU
Gossypium arboreum is the source of this 107-nucleotide non-coding RNA. The record is from Rfam. Lineage: Eukaryota; Viridiplantae; Streptophyta; Magnoliopsida; Malvales; Malvaceae.